This 534-nucleotide ribosomal RNA is filed under the name uncultured bacterium. RNAcentral's name for it is "bacterial SSU rRNA". It matches the Rfam family "Bacterial small subunit ribosomal RNA", at positions 86 to 611 of the family's 1533-position model. The record is from RNAcentral.
UGCUGACGAGCGGCGGGACGGGUGAGUAAUGCCUAGGAAUCUGCCUAGUAGUGGGGGAUAACUUGCCGAAAAGGUAAGCUAAUACCGCAUACGUCCUACGGGAGAAAGCAGGGGACUCUUUCGGAGCCUUGCGCUAUUAGAUGAGCCUAGGUCGGAUUAGUUAGUUGGUGAGGUAAUGGCUCACCAAGACCGCGAUCCGUAACUGGUCUGAGAGGAUGAUCAGUCACACUGGAACUGAGACACGGUCCAGACUCCUACGGGAGGCAGCAGUGGGGAAUAUUGCACAAUGGGCGCAAGCCUGAUGCAGCCAUGCCGCGUGUGUGAAGAAGGCCUUCGGGUUGUAAAGCACUUUCAGUCAGGAGGAAAGGUUAGUAGUUAAUACCUGCUAGCUGUGACGUUACUGACAGAAGAAGCACCGGCUAACUCCGUGCCAGCAGCCGCGGUAAUACGGAGGGUGCGAGCGUUAAUCGGAAUUACUGGGCGUAAAGCGUACGCAGGCGGUUUGUUAAGCGAGAUGUGAAAGCCCCGGGCUCA